RNAcentral lists this small RNA (623 nucleotides) under Arabidopsis thaliana (thale cress). RNAcentral describes it as "ATSL188330". Lineage: Eukaryota; Viridiplantae; Streptophyta; Magnoliopsida; Brassicales; Brassicaceae. The record is from RNAcentral.
GAAUAUUCAAUUUCUAAGUUCGGAAAUUUCGAAUUAAGCAACUCGGACUCUCCGAACUGGGGGGACUAAUUGUUGGUGCAGGAAUUAGCACCUCCGACAAUACCAAUUUAAACCAAGGAAUAACGUGAAUAAAAUCGAGAAUUCGAUUGAACCGGGGAAUCCCGGAUAGCCUGUGAAUGGGCCUUAAGUCAUGAGCUCGCCAGAAGAUUUAGGUCGACAAUCGAGAUCGCCAUAAGCGGCUUCUGAGGUCGUGUGAAGGGAAAACUUCCAUUUAAAAGAGGGUAAUCUCAUGAAGAAUGGAAGUAAUGGAGAUUUAGACUUAAGAUAAUUAGAAGUUUAUCAUAUUUUGGUAUGUUCGACCCAUUGUAUAAAUAGGGGAGGGUCAAACUCUCCAGGGAUCCAUCUUUAACCUAAUACAAAAAGACUACAAUUAUAGAGCAAACCCUAGCUUUCUAUUCAUGCAACUCUGUUCUUCCCCUUUGAUUAUUUAUUAACUGAGAGAGGAGUGAAUUUGUCUAAAUACCUUAGUACAAAUUCAUUGUUUAAUUACAGAAUCAACAAUUAUUUAUACUUAAAAGUAAAUUUCUGGUUUGAGAAGAGAACUAUAAUUUAUAUACUAUAAU